RNAcentral lists this ribosomal RNA (992 nucleotides) under human gut metagenome. RNAcentral's name for it is "bacterial LSU rRNA". It matches the Rfam family "Bacterial large subunit ribosomal RNA", at positions 1934 to 2925 of the family's 2925-position model. The record is from RNAcentral.
CCGUAACUAUAACGGUCCUAAGGUAGCGAAAUUCCUUGUCGGGUAAGUUCCGACCCGCACGAAAGGCGUAACGAUCUGGGCACUGUCUCAACGAGAGACUCGGUGAAAUUGAAUUGCCUGUGAAGAUGCAGGCUACCCGCGACAGGACGGAAAGACCCCAUGGAGCUUUACUGUAGCUUGAUAUUGAGUGCUUGUACUGCUUGUACAGGAUAGGUAGGAGCCAUAGAAGCCAGGACGCUAGUUUUGGCAGAGGCGUUGGUGGGAUACUACCCUUGCAUUAUGAUCACUCUAACCCGCACCACUGAUCGUGGUGGGAGACAGUGUCAGGUGGGCAGUUUGACUGGGGCGGUCGCCUCCCAAAAGAUAACGGAGGCGCCCAAAGGUUCGCUCAGAAUGGUUGGAAAUCAUUCGCAGAGUGUAAAGGCACAAGCGAGCUUGACUGCGAGACAGACAGGUCGAGCAGGGACGAAAGUCGGGCUUAGUGAUCCGGUGGUUCCGCAUGGAAGGGCCAUCGCUCAACGGAUAAAAGCUACCCUGGGGAUAACAGGCUUAUCUCCCCCAAGAGUCCACAUCGACGGGGAGGUUUGGCACCUCGAUGUCGGCUCAUCGCAUCCUGGGGCUGUAGUCGGUCCCAAGGGUUGGGCUGUUCGCCCAUUAAAGCGGUACGCGAGCUGGGUUCAGAACGUCGUGAGACAGUUCGGUCCCUAUCCGUCGCGGGCGUAGGAAAUUUGAGAGGACCUGUCCUUAGUACGAGAGGACCGGGAUGGACAUACCGCUGGUGUACCAGUUGUUCCGCCAGGAGCAUCGCUGGGUAGCUAUGUAUGGAUGAGAUAAACGCUGAAAGCAUCUAAGCGUGAAACUCGCCUCAAGAUGAGAUUUCCCAUUCCUUAUGGAAGUAAGACCCCUCAGAGAUGAUGAGGUAGAUAGGAUGGAAGUGGAAGUGCCGCGAGGCAUGGAGCGGACCAUUACUAAUCGGUCGAGGACUUAACCAA